Molecule: ribosomal RNA, 253 nt
Filed under: uncultured bacterium
Lineage: Bacteria
Description: partial 16S ribosomal RNA
Rfam family: Bacterial small subunit ribosomal RNA
Source: RNAcentral
UACGUAGGGUGCGAGCGUUAUUCGGAAUUACUGGGCGUAAAGCGUGCGCAGGCGGUUUUGUAAGCCAGAUGUGAAAUCCCCGGGCUCAACCUGGGAAUGGCAUUUGGGACUGCAAGGCUGGAGUGUGGCAGAGGAGACUGGAAUUCCUGGUGUAGCGGUGAAAUGCGCAGAUAUCAGGAGGAACACCAAUGGCGAAGGCAGCUCGCUGGGACGGUACUGACGCUGAGACGCGAAAGCGUGGGGAGCAAACAGG